GACAAUCACUGUUCAUAUCGAACACACCCGAUUUUAUUUUUCCCAUAAUUCUUUGCAACGUGCUUGGCCGACGCUAACAAUAGGCGCUAAGUUAUACCCGGCCGAGCUGUCCAGCAAUAAAGACGUGCUUAGUGUGUGAAGGGGGUAUCGUGUUAGAAGCCUGUGUGGCAUGUUUUAGUUUCACAAGUUCAGCAUUUGACGCGGACACGGAUAGCUGACCGUGUGUCAUAUUGUUGAUGUUGAGAAGAUGAUGUUAUGGUGAAGUCGAUGACGAUGCGAUGUUCAUGUUGAUGACGACGAUGAUGUUAUGGUGAUGAUGACGACGACGAUGAUGAUGGUCAUGUCGAUGAAGAUGAUGUAGAUGAUGUCGUUCAUGGUGACGUCGGUGAUGAUUAUGAAGUAGAUGAUUAUGGUGAUGACAAUGAUAUCUAUUAUGACUAUGGUGUUGUAGUUGAUGAUGUUGACGAUAGUGUCGAUGAUUAUGAUGGCGAUGGUGAUGAUGAUGAUUGUGGUGACGAAACUACUCUAGUUGUGGUUGUCCGUAGUUGGUCCAGGACUACAGCCCCGGAGAUUCGGACACUCUUCUAAUUUAUUUUUGGUCAUUUGUAUAAACAUCAUAUUUUUUCUUGUUGAGUGAAAGUUGUGUGAGUGUUUGUGUGGUUUAGUGUUUAUAUUUCUAUCUUUUCUUUCUUUCUCUUAUUUUUUUUGUUAUUAAAUUUUGUUAAAUUUAA
This is a long non-coding RNA of Magallana angulata, 731 nucleotides long. RefSeq lists it as uncharacterized. The transcript has 2 exons. The record is from RefSeq and is a predicted model, not a curated record. Lineage: Eukaryota; Metazoa; Mollusca; Bivalvia; Ostreida; Ostreidae.